Molecule: ribosomal RNA, 253 nt
Filed under: uncultured bacterium
Lineage: Bacteria
Description: partial 16S ribosomal RNA
Rfam family: Bacterial small subunit ribosomal RNA
Source: RNAcentral
CACGUAGGGCGCAAGCGUUGUCCGGAAUUAUUGGGCGUAAAGAGCUCGUAGGCGGUCUGUUGCGUCCGCUGUGAAAACUCGGGGCUUAACCCCGAGCCUGCAGUGGAUACGGGCAGACUAGAGGUAGGUAGGGGAGAAUGGAAUUCCCGGUGUAGCGGUGAAAUGCGCAGAUAUCGGGAGGAACACCGGUGGCGAAGGCGGCGACCUGGUCCGUGACUGACGCUGAGGAGCGAAAGCGUGGGGAGCGAACAGG